This 6237-nucleotide long non-coding RNA is filed under the name Nicotiana tabacum (common tobacco). RNAcentral describes it as "long non-coding RNA (NTAB_LNC016458)". The record is from RNAcentral. Lineage: Eukaryota; Viridiplantae; Streptophyta; Magnoliopsida; Solanales; Solanaceae.
UGCCCGCGAUUCCGCAUUUGCGGACAAUUCGUCGCAUCUGCGACUACUGCUUUUGCGGAAAAACAUCGCAUCUGCGAAAAAUGGCCUUGCCCAGCAACCCCCGCACCUGCUGUAUCAAACUCCGCAUCUGCGAAGACACUCGCACCUGCGUUUCCACUCGACGCACUUGCGCCCUUUUCUCCCCUUCUGCGGGCCUCCUCAUCCAGCUCUCAUCUCGCAUCUGCGACGCCUUUGUCGCUUCUGCGGCCAUCGCACCUGCGCAAACUAACCGCAGGUGCGAUCAUACCAGAACCAGCAGCCUUCAGCAAUGCAACAUGAAGUGAAAAUGAUCCGAACCUCGUCCAAAACUCAUCCGAGCCACUCGGGACCCCGUCCGAAUAUACCAACAAGUUCCAUAACGCAAUACGGACCUACUCAAGGCCUCAAAACACACAUAACAACAUAAAAACGGCGAAUCACACCUCAAAUCGAAAUCUAUGAAUUUCGAACUUUCAAAUUCAAUAACUCGUGCCGAAACAUAGCAAAUCAAUCCGGAAUGACUUCAAAUUUUGCACACAAGUCACAUUCGACAUUACGGACCUGCUCCAACUUCCUAAAUCGGAAUCCGACCCCGAUAUCAAAAAGUCCACUCCCGGUCAAACUUUGCAAAAUUUCAACUUCCGCCAUUUCGAGCCAAAUUCAACCACGAACCUCCAAAUCACAAUCCGGACGUGUUCCUAAGUUUAAAAUCACCCAACGGAGCUAACAAAACCAUCAAAAUUCCAAUCCGCUAGCUUCGGCCAUGACUUCACAAUCCACAACUAUGAAACAAUCUGCUCCUGAAAGCUCCCGGUUUCCAAAUCCAUAAAACACACGAAUCACCAUUUCUGAUUCCAUCUCCACCGCCCAAAUGUCUAACACAUCUCUCAUACACGAUCAUCCCACGAGGAAUACUUCUAAAAUUCUUCCGUGCCAUCUAGCAAAAUUUGAACAUCAGCAGUCAAUCAACCAGGAGAGUGCCGCAAUACCAAUGAAGUAUCCAUAAAUCAAACACAUUGCCCUUUCUGAAAUGUAUACUAUCAUCAGGCCAUACCGAUUAGUAAUAUCAGUUACCUAGUCAUCUGAAACCGUCCAUGCUGCCUACAAAUCUAUGCCCUUCCCUUCCAAACUGACUUGUGACCUUGCACAUGCAAAUCUCAAUCCCACACAACACCGCAUCUACCAUGCCAUCCUGUGAAGAGUACAGGAGUCUCAUAAUCAACUCUGAGUUCCAAGCAGAAUACAUACCCGAUAAGUCAGAAACCUUCCAUUUGAUUUCAUCUGGGAGAAAUUCACUAUACACCACAUGCUCCUCACGCCAGCAGGAAAUAUACCCCUCGAACCUUGGUAAAAACCAUUGAGAACUCUUCGAAACCCAUUUGCACGUAACCAAGCUAUCUGAACCGAAUCUCUCUAACUCAACCCAGCCACGCAGGUUGCCAAAACCCAAGAGCAUUGCCACGAAACACCUGUAGAGACUAGCCACGUCAUAAGAUCCAAAGAACCGAUUAUAUCCAUUACUGUGCUGAUCCAACCUACUACCACGCAGUCCUAUUUCUCAAAGUCCCUUCCAAAUUGCCUUCAAAUUGAUACUUCUCCUUGCUGGAACACUACGAUCCUUAACCAAAAUUCACCACACAAGAGACCCUAGUAUAAAACCACAACGCCUAAGGCCCAUAAGCCGCUGACUUCCUCUUAAGCACCCCAAGGCACCACAACCGAGACACCCACUCUAAAGAGACCUUAUGUGAACCUCAAACUGUUUCCUUCACCUUCUUGAUAAUGAAAUGCACAAUCCACAAUGAUAUAAAAUGCCACAAGUCUCGACACCAUCCAAUGCAACUCCCAGUUUCUAGCCAUAUACAAAUCUUGAAAAUUCCAAAUCACUACAUAUAAAUUUUAAAUCCACUAGAACCAUUCUCGAGAGUCAUCCACUAUACUCAAAUCUUAAUUAAACUGACCAAACGGACCGAACGACCUGUGCCCCAUUAGCACACCAACACCCAAGGGAGUAAAGAAUAACCCACACUCCUAAGCAACUGAGCAAAUUCCUACUCCAUGUACACUACAUCCUUCGCGAAUAACCACUCAAUUAUUUUGUGAUUCUCAUAUACCUAUAGAGUGUAAUACAACCUGUAUCCAGAAAUUCCUUUACCCGAGUCAUCCUCGAUCUCGACCUCUGCAAGUCAUAACUGAUUCACCAGUAUACCCCAAACCGAAACCAAUACAACACAUAACCGUGCAAUCAACUCGUCGAUAGCAGACUCCCCCACUUGGCUCAAAGCCAUGGAAUAAAACAUCUGACUACUUACAAUAACCAUACCCCAUUACGACCAUAAUACCACAGUGAGAUUCCAUUAAAUCCUUCAUCCGCUCAUGCAACACAAACCAUCUAGUACCUCAAAUCAUCUGCAAAUAUCGCNNNNNNNNNNNNNNNNNNNNNNNNNCACUCCACAACUAAACAACAUGCGAGAUCCCUCAAUACACCCAUAACUCGAGACCAUACGCCAAAUCAAGACAGAAAUCAGACACCCCAUAGUCCUUUCUACAUCUUAAGUAAACUCUUCUCGUCACAUUCGAACAAUCUGAGCACAUCUCGCAGUCACAUCAUACUCACCACAUAGCCAUUCUAUCGCUCAUCGAGCCACAAAUUUCACUCAUAGAGACACUACUGGAUGUAUAAGUCCUAAAAGCACGUGCUCACACAAUCGAAAUCUCCGUGCUCAAGCUACAGUCAAAACCCGGCCUCAAGUCCUCCAGCCUGGCCCAUCAUCAGCACGCCAAAAUCACAUCUCGCACCUCAACCAUGGAAUCACAAGCCGUCGUUGCACAGCUGAUACCGAGCGUUUAUGUGCGCAUACGAAUGCGUGGAAGGAAUUCAAAGGGUUACGCUUCAAGCUGAAUCAAUGUCGCACGAUAAGGAAAGAAAGAUGGGAAGUAUAUCCUAAAUGUCCUGUAGCCUCUCGAAGAUAGGUAUGGACGUCAUUAUACCGAUCCGCAAGACUUUACUAAACACUUGCUCAUGACUUGUAGAACCUAUGAACCUAGAGCUUUGAUACCAACUUGUCACGACCCUAAAUCCACUAGUCGUGAUGACACCUAACCCAACCCGCUAGGUAAGCCAAUUAACAACUAUCCAAUUCCAAUUGAUAUUUUAUAAGACAGUUAAGUAAAGAAAUUAUCUGAAUCUUAUACAUUCCCCAAGGACUGGUAGUACAAAUCAUGAGCUUCUAAGAAUAGAAUUUACAAAGUUGAAAUGAAAUAAAUACAUCGUCUGUUUGAAAAGUACAUAAACAGAGUUUUAUAGAUCUAAGGCUACCACGAAAAAGGGGCAGCUACAACCGUGACACAGGUACAUCUUCAAUCCAGCUCCCAUCGGACACAGCAACAUCAGCAACCAACAUCUACACGCAAGGUGCAGAAGUAUAGUAUGAGUACAACCGACCCCAUGUACUCAAUAAGUAAUAAACCUAACCUUAGGUUGAAAGUAGUGACGAGCUAACACAAGGUCGGGUCCAAUACCAAUAUCCCACAACAAUUCAUAACAACAUAAUACAAGUAAUAAAAGAUGUAUCUCAGAAGUAAAAUGCUCAGCUCGUUCACAGUUCCAGAAAAUAGUCAUGCUUUUCAAAUAUCUUAGUGAAAACCCAAAUCUUUUACCGAAGAUGUAAAAAAUACGAGUAAGUUUGAAAACUAUAAUUUUUUCAAAUAUCCUUUCCACAAUAAAUAAAAUAUUUCAUUUUCUUUCCAGAUAGCAAGUGUGAAAUACCUCUCUAUGCCCACAUAUCAAUGUGUGUGAAAAACAAAGUCAUGAAUGACGUGAUACCGUACAACAUGAGGAAAAAUGCAUCUCUAUGCCGUUAUGUCAUGUGUGCAUGCCAAUGCCAUGUAUCUCAGAGAUGAAUCAUGUAGUCACACUCUCAGAGUACUUAAUCUCACUGUCUUACACUUUCCACUCAUCAUGCUCAACCACUCGGUACUGUAUAUGGCCCAUACGGCCCAGGGAAGAUCCAUCCCGGAAUAUAUACAUCACUGACCAUCAGUCACUCAGUACCGAGGAAGGCCAAUCCGGCCCCAUGGAGAAGAUUCAUCUCCAGGUAUAUAAAUGCUUCGGAUAAGAUCCAUGUCCAGGGAAGAUCCAUCCCUAAAUAUAAUCAACCGCGCUCACUGGGGGUGUGCAGACUCCGGAGGGGCUCCUACAGCCCAAGCGCUAUCAUAAGCCAGAUCCAGGCAUAAAUCAAUAUAACAUGCUGCGGCGUGCAGCCCGAUCCCAUAAGUGUCACUCAUAAUCAGGCUCUCGGCCUCACUCAGUCAUCAAUCUCUCCAGUCUCACUCACAGGCUCACAAUGUCAUGAAACUAGCCCGACAAUAAUGAUAUGAUGUAUCAGUAAAUAACAACUGAGAUAUAAUAUGAAUGCAUGAAUAUGACUGAGUACGAAAUAUCAAUGAAAUCAGUGAGAUGACAGCAAGAAACGACCACUAUGGGUCCCAACAGUAUCGGCAUAAAGCCUAAAUAUGAUAUCUAGCAUGAUUGACAGCUCAAUUACUUUAUCACAUGGUGAAAACACGGAUAUCAACAAAAUAGGGCCACUAUUCAGUGCCGUGGAAACAACGGAGUCCCAAUUUACAUGGUGCACGCCCACACGCCCGUUUCCUAGCAUGUGCGUCUUCUCAAUACCAAUCACAUAACACGUAUUACGGGGUUUCAUACCUUCAGCACUAAGUUUAGAAGAGUUACUUACCUCGAACAAGCUAAUUCCAACACCGAGCAAGCCAAGCGAUGCUCCAAAAUGCCAUCCCGCGCGUUCCGACCUACGAACGGCUCAAAACUAACCAAAAACAACUCAAGUACAUCAAACAAUGCUAACGGAACCAAUCCCGAUCAAAAAAGAUCAAAUCUUGAAUCAAAAGCCCAAAACCAGCCAAAAGCCCAACCGGGGCCCGCACUUCGGACCCCGACAAAAUUUACAAAAUCCAACAACCCAUUCAAUUACGAGUCCAACCAUACUAGUUUCACUCAAAUCUGACUCCAAUUCGAUGUUCAAAACUCAAAAAUUCAUAUUAUGAAACUUUAGGCCAAAAAACCCAAUUUCCUCUUUAAAUUUCACAAUCCAAUUACCAAAAACGAAGAUAGAUUAAGGAAAUAUAACCAAAACCGAGUAGAGAACACUUACCCAAUUCAUAUGGUGAAAAUGUUUCAAGAAUUGCCUCAAUCCGAGCUCCAUAGCUCCCAAAAUGAAGAAAGAAUCAAAACCCUCGUUAAUAUAGCUUCUGCCUAGCGAUUCCGCAUUUGCGGACAAUUCGUCGCAUCUGUGACUACCGUUUUUGCGGAAAAACAUCGCAUCUGCGAUAAAUGGCCUUGCCCAGCAACCCUCGCACCUGCGGUAUCAAACUCCGCAUCUGCGAAGACCCUCGCACCUGCCCUUCCACUCGACGCGCCUGCGCAUCCGCACCUGCGCCCUUUUCUCCGCUUUUGCGGGCCUCCUCAUCCAGCUCUCAUCUCGCAUCUGCGAUGCCUUUGUUGCUUCUGCGGCCAUCACACCUGCGCAAACUAACCGCAGGUGCGAUCAUACCAGAACCAGCAGCCUUCAACAAUGCAACAUGAAGUAAAAAUGAUCUGAACCUCAUCCAAAACUCAUCCGAACCACUCGGGACCCCGUCCGAAUAUACCAACAAGUUCCAUAACGCAAUACGGACCUACUCGAGGCCUCAAAACACAUAUAACAACAUAAAAACGACGAAUCACACCUCAAAUCGAAAUCUAUGAAGUUCGAACUUUCAAAUUCAAUAACUCGUGCCGAAACAUAGCAAAUCAAUCCGGAAUGACUUCAAAUUUUGCACACAAGUCACAUUCGACAUUACGGGCGUGCUCCAACUUUCGGAAUCGGAAUCCGUCCCCAAUAUAAAAAAGUCCACUCCCGGUCAAACUUUCCAAAAUUUCAACUUCCGCAAUUUCGAGCCAAAUUCAACCACGAACCUCCAAAUCACAAUCCAGACGCGCUCUUAAGACCAAAAUCACCCAACGGAGCUAACAGAACCAUCAAAAUUCCAAUCCGAGGUCAAUGCUAAAAUGUAAAACUUGGUCAACUCUUUCGAAUUUAAAGCUCCCUAGUUGAGAAUCAUUCUUCCAAAUCAGUCCCGAAUAACCUGAAAACCAAACCGACGAUUCACACAAGUCAAAAUACCUCAUACAGAGCUACUCACGCCUGUAAACUACCG